This 600-nucleotide ribosomal RNA is filed under the name Bacillus sp. (in: firmicutes). RNAcentral describes it as "bacterial SSU rRNA". It matches the Rfam family "Bacterial small subunit ribosomal RNA", at positions 56 to 641 of the family's 1533-position model. Lineage: Bacteria; Bacillati; Bacillota; Bacilli; Caryophanales; Bacillaceae. The record is from RNAcentral.
UGCAGUCGAGCGAAUCUCGAGGGAUCUUUCCCUUGCGAUUAGCGGCGGACGGGUGAGUAACACGUGGGCAACCUACCUGUAAGCCUGGGAUAACUUCGGGAAACCGGAGCUAAUACCGGAUAAUUUCUUUCUUCACAUGAAGAGAGGUUGAAAGACGGCUUUGCUGUCACUUACAGAUGGGCCCGCGGCGCAUUAUCUAGUUGGUGAGGUAACGGCUCACCAAGGCCACGAUGCGUAGCCGACCUGAGAGGGUGAUCGGCCACACUGGGACUGAGACACGGCCCACACUCCUACGGGAGGCAGCAGUAGGGAAUCUUCCGCAAUGGACAAAAGUCUGACGGAGCAACGCCCCGUGAGUGAAGAAGGUCUUCGGAUCGUAAAACUCUGUUAUCAGGGAAGAACAAGUACCGGAGUUACUGCCGGUACCUUGACGGUACCUGACCAGAAAGCCACGGCUAACUACGUGCCACCACCCGCGGUAAUACAUAUGUGGCAAGCGUUGUCCGGAAUUAUUGGGCGUAAAGCGCGCGCACGCGGUUCUUUAAGUCUGAUGUGAAAUCUUGCGGCUCAACCGUGAGCGGUCAUUGGAAACUGGAGAAC